UCGUAACUUGUGUGGCUUCGAACUUACCUAGUUGAGGAAAACUCCCAUGUCGGAUUUUGUUACCUCUGGUAUUCGAGCCAAUAAGUUCGG
Non-coding RNA from Drosophila melanogaster (fruit fly), 90 nucleotides. Its record names the gene mir-314. Lineage: Eukaryota; Metazoa; Arthropoda; Insecta; Diptera; Drosophilidae. The record is from Ensembl.